UUUUAUUAAGAACAACUGGCAAACCAAUAUUAAACCAUUUACUUAUCUGUAUCAUUGAGCCAAUUUAAAAAAAGUAAACCAACAGGCUGCAAAGCCUUUCUUUGAGUUUAAUCAACUUAUGGGCUAAUGUGUUGUGACAACUUAUGUUAAGAAGUUUGCUCUAAGUGCUUGGCAAACCAAUACAAAACCAUUGACUUACCGUCUGUUAACUAGAAGUGGCAACAUCAGAAAUAUAGACAUCAGUCAAUGGACUGCAGUGAAAGCUGUGCUGAUGAAUCCUAAUAACUCAUAACCGCACGAGUUUUCACCUUGCACCGGGUGGUUCUUUUUUUUCCAAUGAUGUGAAAUGAGAAAGUUGUUGCAGCCAUGCAGAUUGGACUGUCAAUCGGAGAGCUCUAUCGCCUCUGGUCGUAUGUGCGUUGGACUCAAACUUGAAACCAAGGUGAGAAUAUUGCAAACAUUUAAAUCAGAAAUCAUAAAAAAAAAAAAUUAGAGAGACAAAAGACAAUAUCAACUUAAAUGUUGAACUCAUAUUUAAACAUUAACGUACAAUUGCUUAUUACAGAGCUGUGGCAGAAACAGAAGUCUCAUUUGGUCUCAUCGUUAUCAACCCUUCUAACAGCUGAUCUGACCAAGUUUUUACCACCAGGUGACUUUACGCGUCUGCACCAUUUCCAUUCUCUCUCUCUCUCUCUCUCUCUCACCCUCUCUCUCGCUCUCUCUCUCACCCUCUCUCUCACACACCCCCUUCUCCCUCUCACACACUCUCUCUCUCGGAGCCAGAGAGGGGAGCUCGGUCUCUCUCUCCUCCACCACCAGCACCACCACCCACCGGGGCUUCCUCCGCAGCCUCCCGCCGCUCCUUCUUCUUCUUCUUCUUCUUCUUCAUCAUCAUCAUCACCGUCAUCAUCAUCAUGGACCCGGGGACUAAAAGAAUCGCUUGGAUUAUCGCCCGCGUCCUGCUGCUUCUCUCCAGCUCGCACGGGACACACGGAGACGGGGUGUGCGACGGCCCGCUGGUGUCCAACCUGCCGCCGUCGUCUUUCAGGAGCUCCGGCCAGCUGUCCAGCAGCCACGCGCCGGGCUUCGCCAAACUCAACCGGAGAGAAGGGGAUCCUGUGCCGGAUCUGGAGGUGAGGCUUUGACGAAACGAAGGUCACGCUCGGAACAACUCAGAGUCGACUGAGGCAGGAAGGAUGUUGGGUACCCGCGGAAAAAAACUGAAAGGGAAGCUGAACCCGCAGAUUAACGCUGCUCGCUGUGCAACGAAACACAUCUGUUCAUGUCAACGUGACGCAGCUUUAGCGCACGCAGCCAUCGGGGCGUGUCGCACAAGCCCACAGACGUUGAUGAACUGAAUGCAGAUUCUUCAAAGUAUUUAAUAGAGCUCCCACAAAAAGUUCGGCGGUUCGGGAGGAAGCUUGUUUCCUCUCUCUGUUGUUGUGAAUUUACUACUCUGGCCGGGCCGCGAACCCCGUGACCUCGGGUACGGGGGUCCGGAAGCGCUAACCACGAGGCCAGAACCGCCAGCCCGUCUCUCGUCACUCGUGUGGUGCCGUCCGCACCGCUGGGUUGUUUUCGAGGAAAUAUUGGCAGAUUUUCAUUGCUUUAGAAUCGCUUACUGUCCCUUUAACUGGAGGAAGGUUGAGCCGGGGGCUGAGGUUCGAAAUUGUCAAACUGUCUGAGGAAGUUUCCUAAAUCCCGACGUGACCCGGAGGUAUUUGAUCGGCAGCCAUGAUGAGAGCUGUUUCGGAUUCUCUAAAUGCACAGGAAAGGAGCUUCAGUGGUUCCUUCCCUAUCUCCUCUAGCGUAGGACACACUGGAGCUUCCUCUGUGAGAGUAAGGAGACACAGACGCCCCCGCAAUUCAUUGCGGCAGCGUCAUUCGCCGUGACGCGCCAUGAACGGACGUCAACGAUUCAAUCUGAAGUAGAAGAAGAAGAAGAGUAUGAAUAUGACCCAGAAGAGACGUCAUCGUGUAAGUUACCGUUACAUAUGAAUCAUAACAUCUGAUGUCACACGGUGGUAAAAAAGACUGAAACAUGCUGAUGGAGCCGCUGAGGUCUUUUGUAGUCCACGUUGGGAAAUUUGUAGAUUCACCACGACAGACGCACCAACAACAUCCUCCGUCGCGUGAUGACCAAGUUCCGUGAAAGUGGAGUCGGCUUUUCCCAAGUCCUGUCAGUCCUCCUCCUCCAAUAAUAAUAAACACAUGGAGAUGAGAAAGUGCAGUAAUAGGAGGUGGGAGUGUGUGAGGGAAUGGGCGGCUUACGACUGACUAUCACAACAUGGGUUGGGCGUCUUUUUCUAUUUCCUUCUUCUCGUGGAAUCCAGCUCUGGCCGUCGGCGGAACGCGAAGACACUGUUUGCGUGGCAUCUCUUCGUCCAGCUGUUUGCCGAGGAGAUGGAUGAAUAAAUAAAUCACCUCCGUGUCAUUUCCAUCUCCUGCCGCCGCCGCCGCCGCCUCCGCCGGUUGUUUCCUCUGAGGAGCGGCGUUCGCUCUCACCUCGUUAAACUCGCUAAGUGAAUUGAUCGUCGGACCCCCUGACGUCCCCACCUACAUGAUGAGUGUAGACAGUAAAUCAAAAUGUUCACACCAGAGGUUCGUGUACUGACUGUGAUACCGUGGUGUCAUAUCACAUUUGCAGCAGCGUUACAUGACUUUGACUUAAUUUUACUUCUUUUUUUUUGUACCAGCGCUUUGGGUGCAUGAAAAGCGCUUUAUAAAUCAAAUAUAUUAUUGUUAUUAUUAUUUGACAUGUGUCUCGUGAGUGUAAUAUAUCAAAUUCUUUCACGUACUGAAUCGCUGCAUUUGCUAAUAGGUUUGCGUUCUGACAUUGUCUUUUUUCUUCUUGCUCCUCUUCAUCCUUUUUGUUUUGUGGAAUGAAUCCAAAUUUCCAAAACCCUGGUUUGGUUGCGUGUUUUGAAAAAAACAAACAAAAAACGAUAAGAUCAAACACUUUUGUAAGGAAACAAAAUCUGGAUUUCAAUAUCUUGGGGAAUUUAAGUUUGCUGACAUAAUGUAUAUGAACAACACUGUAAAAAAGAAAAGAAAACUUUAGCGGAUGAUAUCACGCUUCUUUUUGAUCUUGAUGAAUAUAAAAACUGAAAUAUAUCAAAUCCAUCCAAAGCUGUGUUUCAACCAUACGGGGACCAGGAUCGAAAUUAAAGGGGCAGUAAGUGAUUUUAAACUAAUACACGUUUUGUAAAAAUAUGCGAAUAUUCCCUCAAGGUCCCGCUAGCUGUCGCCAGUUAACUCUUGCGACUAGUGGUCAACCUGUCGGUCUCCCAUCCCGGAGGUCGCCGGUCCGCGGCCCGAGGCACUAAAAUCACAACAACAACAACAACAAAGAGAGAAGCAAGUUUUCUCCAGAAUCGCUUACUGCCCCUUUGAGUCCUGGGGGGAAAUCUUUUUACAUCCCUGCUGUUGGAGGGGUACUACUACAAAAGUACAGGAACCUUUGGGGUGGAGCCUUUUUGGAGAUAUUUGCAUAUUCUUUUAUAUAUAUAUAUAUAUAUAUAUAUAUAUAUAUAUAUAUAUAUGUAUAUAUAUAUAUUCUUUGUUUUCACCUUUUUUUCUUUUAUUUCUCUCAUGGUCAUUAGUCCGCAGUCACGUUUUCAUCAGUCAAGAACUGAUUCAGUCAGCUUUAGUCUUCUUACCAAGUGUCAAUAAAAGUCUCCCUUGUUGAAAUAAAUGUUUUGUUUUUUUCAAUCCCCCUCUCGGGCAACACUGACAACCAUCGGCCAUGUCACUACAAUUAGGGCUUUUCGCUGGAAUAGACUUCAAACGAAA
Long non-coding RNA from Scophthalmus maximus (turbot), 3792 nucleotides. The record is from Ensembl. NCBI's taxonomy places the organism in Eukaryota, Metazoa, Chordata, Actinopteri, Pleuronectiformes, Scophthalmidae.